ACUCCUUCAACUCAACAAUAAAACUUGAUUAAAAAUGGGCAAAGGACUUCUCCAAAGAAGUUGCACAAAUGACCAAUAAGCCAAGAUGUACAGCAUCACUUAUCAUUAGGGAAAUGAAAAUCAAACUACAAUAGGAACCACCUCACACCCAUUAGGAUUGGCUACUAUUAAAAAAUAAUGAUAAUAACAAGUGUUGACAAUGGAAUGGAAAAAUAGGAACCUUCUUGUGUUGUUGGUGGGGUAAUGUAAAAUAGUACAGCCACUAUGGAAAACAGUAUGGCAGUUGCUGAAAAACCUUAAUAAACAAUUCCACUUUGGGGUUUAAGUACCCAAAAGAAUUGAUAACAAAAGCCAAACAGGCAUUUGGACAACCAUGUUCAUAGCAUUAUUGGCAGUAGCCAAAAGGUGUAGGCAUUUUAAAUGUCCAUCAAAGUUUGAAUGAAUAAACAAAGUUUGGCAUACACACAAAGAGUAGAAUAGUAUUCAUUCUUAAAAAGGAAGGGAAUUCUGAUACAACAUUUAUGAAAUUUAAGGAUACGAUGCUAUGUGAACUAAGGACAAAUACUGUAUAAUUCUACUUAACUUAGUUAAUCUGUCCCAGAGUAGUCAGAAUCAUAGAGACAGAAAAUUAGAUUGGUGGUUGUCAUGGAAUGAAUAGUGGAAUGGGGAGAUGAUUAUGGAAAUGGAGUUUUGGUUUUGUAAGAUAAAAAGUUCUGAAUAUUGGACACACAACUGCAUGACUGUAAUUAACCCACUGAAGUGUACACUUAAAAACGGUUGUGAUGGUGAACGUUAUGUGUAUUCUACCAUUAGUUUUUUUUUUAAAUGAGUAAAUAUUUUGACCAAGCCCCAGAUUUUUAUAAGGCUAAGCUAAUUAUUUAUGUGUUAUUAUAUUCAAG
RNAcentral lists this long non-coding RNA (899 nucleotides) under Marmota monax (woodchuck). The record is from RNAcentral. Lineage: Eukaryota; Metazoa; Chordata; Mammalia; Rodentia; Sciuridae.